CGGAGGACCGAGUGCCGCUCAC
Molecule: non-coding RNA, 22 nt
Filed under: Arabidopsis thaliana (thale cress)
Lineage: Eukaryota; Viridiplantae; Streptophyta; Magnoliopsida; Brassicales; Brassicaceae
Source: RNAcentral